AAAGAAAUUAUAUUAAAAGAAGCUUCUAACUUCUUAAAGAGCAUUUAAAUGUUCAU
RNAcentral lists this transfer RNA (56 nucleotides) under Calochromus sp. UPOL 000L16. Its description in RNAcentral is "partial tRNA-Ser". The record is from RNAcentral. Lineage: Eukaryota; Metazoa; Arthropoda; Insecta; Coleoptera; Lycidae.